Molecule: non-coding RNA, 45 nt
Filed under: Echinostoma caproni
Lineage: Eukaryota; Metazoa; Platyhelminthes; Trematoda; Plagiorchiida; Echinostomatidae
Source: RNAcentral
GCACUACUGACGAGUCCCAAACAGGAUGAAACAAUCGUCCAAUGC